AUUGAACGCUGGCGGCAGGCCUAACACAUGCAAGUCGAACGGUAGCACAGAGAGCUUGCUCUCGGGUGACGAGUGGCGGACGGGUGAGUAAUGUCUGGGAAACUGCCUGAUGGAGGGGGAUAACUACUGGAAACGGUAGCUAAUACCGCAUAAUGUCGCAAGACCAAAGAGGGGGACCUUCGGGCCUCUUGCCAUCGGAUGUGCCCAGAUGGGAUUAGCUUGUUGGGGAGGUAAAGGCUCACCAAGGCGACGAUCCCUAGCUGGUCUGAGAGGAUGACCAGCCACACUGGAACUGAGACACGGUCCAGACUCCUACGGGAGGCAGCAGUGGGGAAUAUUGCACAAUGGGCGCAAGCCUGAUGCGGCCAUGCCGCGUGUGCGAAGAAGGCCUUCGGGUUGUAAAGCACUUUCAGCGGGGAGGAAGGCGGUGAGUUUAAUGAGCUCACCGAUUGACGUUACCCGCAGAAGAAGCACCGGCUAACUCCGUGCCAGCCGCCGCUGUAA
This 504-nucleotide ribosomal RNA is filed under the name uncultured bacterium. RNAcentral's name for it is "partial 16S ribosomal RNA". It matches the Rfam family "Bacterial small subunit ribosomal RNA", at positions 30 to 523 of the family's 1533-position model. The record is from RNAcentral.